CAGUACAACAACACCAGCUAACCCGACCCAACCUCCAAUUCCUCUUCUCCUCAUAUAUGCACAGAAAUAAUGUAACAGCUUUAAUAAACACCAACAACAACAACUCUCAACCCAACAAUGAUGACCCGAUAACCCAACACUAAAAACCGACUUUGAACCAACUCCGAUCGAGUAACGGAACCUCGACCCAACAAAACCCCUUUUUUUGUUCCUCUUCUCAUCUCAAAAUUGUGGGGACCUUCUAGAAAAUAUCCAGUGGUGGCGAAUUCCAACGAAGCUCAAAAUGUCGUUUUGCUACCCAAAAGCUGGUUAGUCUUUGAUUCUCUCUUUUGUACUGUCGCGAUGUAAUAGUUGUAGUCAUAGUAUGAUUUCGAUUAUUGCGUUGUACACUGGGAUUGUUCGCUGUAGAGUGAUUCAAUGGCCAUAGGGAUUUCUUGAAAUGAUUGUCUAUAUAUUGUUUACUGUAUCACCAUCCAUACAAUAGCCUUUGUGCCACGAUUGAUUUCGUACUUUACUGUUAGGUUAUUUUGAGUUCCCUGUUUUUGUGACAAUGUUAAUGUUUAGUAAUUAAUUUGUCGAGGACAUGAUGUUUAGGUCGUCUUUAUGAUUCAAUAAUUUCUAUAGCACUGCUUCGGUAUUGACUUUAUCCCAUGCGUAGUUUUCUCUCGAUUCAUGUUAAAUCGGUUUAACUGAAAAUUCAAUGAAUUAGUCUCGCCAUUUGCUUUCUGGUUUAUGCCUUCAAAAUCAUUGCAAUAUUGGUUUCGUUAGUCCUCAACUUAUUAUUUUUAUAGUUAAAUAUCAUAGUAUGAUCUUGCUUGUAUUCAGCUGAAUAUUUGUUGUUUAAGUUUUCUUUGUCACCUUAGUUCAACAUUGCUAGUGGCUUGCCCGUUCCUUACCGUAUCUUAUGCUUGUUUUUGAAUUGUCGUGAGUAUGUAAAGAUGUUCCUCAAGUUCCUAUUGGCAAGAAAAUGUCAAAAAAGGAUGAAGGAUACAUUGUAUAGGUCCCUUGUUUGAUAGAAUUGCUACGAGGGUUAAUAUUCUCUUGGCAUCAUAAUGAUAGUCUUGAUGCACUAGUGCGAAUGUGUUUAACGUAACCUAACAACCAUAGGAAAAAGAUGAAGAAGCAUGCUUUUUAGGUCUCUUGUAGCUUCAAAAGCUUCUGUUUUAUUUGUUUUCCAUGAAAGUGGGUUCUUUUAUUAUUUUUUGAUCUUUUUCCUUUUAGUUCGAAUACCGUGGUUUCUUUAUUUCUCUCUUAAUGACAUUUAUUAGCGCCUGAUUUCAGAUUCAAUGUCUUAAUAGGGUUAAAAAAUGUAAGUCACUAUUUUCGUCUAAAUAUUUCAAGUUUGAGUAGUUGUAUUCUUAACGUGCUAGUUUGAUAUUGAUUAUGUAGUUUGUGUUAGCUGUAAGGCUGUUUCCGAAAUUAUUUCUUAGCUGAUAAUAUCUUAUUAGCAGUCUGUUACUUUAAAUUAUCUCUUCUUCAUUUUCUUGUCUCUAGUCUGUAAAAGCUGAAUUUGGUUAUCUAGUUGGAUUUUGUCAAAUCUUAGACAAAAGGCGAUAACAUCUUAUAAUAUACUAGGAUUUUCUUGGCUUACAAAUUUAUUAGUUCUCUGGUUUGUUUGAGUUUGCAUCUAAUUGUCCCUUCCCUUUUACCUAUUCAUUUAAUCUCUUAAGAAGUUCAUUUCAUGUCUUUACUUUACUUUGUUUAAAUUUUUAUUAUCAUUCCUUAUGGUCUCCCUGUUUGAUUUUCCAUGUAUGAGUUUGAUUCAUAUUUCUUUGUUGUCCAAAUUAUUCAUUGUUUGUAAAAACAUAUUAAUUUCUUCAUCUUUUACUUUGCAUGAACCCGUCUGAGAGUCCAAAUGGACUCUUUUUCUUUGUAUUUCAUAAUGGCCAAUAAGGCCCAUCUCAUUGAGUCCAGCUCGAAAGAAAGCCUUAGGUCAAAUGGCAUACGUAUACGAGAAGUUGGAAGAAGGAAAAUUAACCGCAGGCCCCUGGUUGAAGUAGCUAAGAGACUCGAAGAGUCUCAUUUUCCCUUAUUUAUUUAUUUAUUAUCACUUUAUUUAUUUUUAAGUUAUUUAUUUAGGCCUUGAAGCCAAAGUUGUAUUUUAAUACAGGUGAAGCAAAACUCGAGCCAAAGAUUCAAAAAAAUAGUUUAGGACAUGUUAUGGACCGAAAGCCAAAUGUUUAGAUUAUGGCAGGUGAAGAAAGGCCAAAAGCCUAAUUAGAUUAGGAAAGAGUUUAUUGAUUUGGGCCCAAUGGUUUAAGUCUUUUAUUUUCUCCCA
Capsicum annuum is the source of this 2278-nucleotide long non-coding RNA. RefSeq lists it as uncharacterized. The transcript has 2 exons. The record is from RefSeq and is a predicted model, not a curated record. Lineage: Eukaryota; Viridiplantae; Streptophyta; Magnoliopsida; Solanales; Solanaceae.